UACAGGGUGACAGCCCCGUACACAAAAAUGCACAUAUUGUGAGCUCGAUGAGUAGGGCGGGACACGUGGUAUCCUGUCUGAAUAUGGGGGGACCAUCCUCCAAGGCUAAAUACUCCUGACUGACCGAUAGUGAACCAGUACCGUGAGGGAAAGGCGAAAAGAACCCCGGCGAGGGGAGUGAAAAAGAACCUGAAACCGUGUACGUACAAGCAGUGGGAGCCUCUUUUAUGGGGUGACUGCGUACCUUUUGUAUAAUGGGUCAGCGACUUAUAUUCUGUAGCAAGGUUAACCGAAUAGGGGAGCCGAAGGGAAACCGAGUCUUAACUGGGCGUUAAGUUGCAGGGUAUAGACCCGAAACCCGGUGAUCUAGCCAUGGGCAGGUUGAAGGUUGGGUAACACUAACUGGAGGACCGAACCGACUAAUGUUGAAAAAUUAGCGGAUGACUUGUGGCUGGGGGUGAAAGGCCAAUCAAACCGGGAGAUAGCUGGUUCUCCCCGAAAGCUAUUUAGGUAGCGCCUCGUGAACUCAUCUCCGGGGGUAGAGCACUGUUUCGGCAAGGGGGUCAUCCCGACUUACCAACCCGAUGCAAACUGCGAAUACCGGAGAAUGUUAUCACGGGAGACACACGGCGGGUGCUAACGUCCGUCGUGAAGAGGGAAACAACCCAGACCGCCAGCUAAGGUCCCAAAGUCAUGGUUAAGUGGGAAACGAUGUGGGAAGGCCCAGACAGCCAGGAUGUUGGCUUAGAAGCAGCCAUCAUUUAAAGAAAGCGUAAUAGCUCACUGGUCGAGUCGGCCUGCGCGGAAGAUGUAACGGGGCUAAACCAUGCACCGAAGCUGCGGCAGCGACGCUUAUGCGUUGUUGGGUAGGGGAGCGUUCUGUAAGCCUG
Molecule: ribosomal RNA, 890 nt
Filed under: Escherichia coli
Lineage: Bacteria; Pseudomonadati; Pseudomonadota; Gammaproteobacteria; Enterobacterales; Enterobacteriaceae
Description: partial 23S ribosomal RNA
Rfam family: Bacterial large subunit ribosomal RNA
Source: RNAcentral